GCUGUCAUGUCCAAGAUCACUGGACAACAGAGGAAAAUCUCAAGCAGGAAACACAGGGUCCCCCAAAAGUAGAAAUAAAAACAACUUGGAGAAAAGAGACAAUGCAAGAUAAUGAAUGUUUUAAAAAACAAUUAUUCUCUGAAAGAUAAGAAACAAUAUUGCAUCCAUGAGACAAGAACUGGAUGCUACAAAAAAGAAUAGUGAGAAAAUUGGAAAAAGCUCUUGGAAAUUAAAGUCAUGAUAAAAGAAAUAAAAGACUGAGUAGGAGAGUUGUAAGACAAAUGAGGAAAUCUCCCAGAAAAUUGAGUGAAAGGAAAACAUGGAAAAUCACAGUGCAAAGAUAAAAAUGAAACUUAGAAAGUUAAUUCAGAGUGAACACAGAAUUUUAAAUUUUCAGAAUUGAAGUUCUAAUUUUCCAAUUGGAAGUUACCAUCUAAUGUCCAAUAAAAUGGAUGAAAAUGAGCAUGCAACACACCACAUGAUGAAAUUUUUAUACAUGAAGGAUGAAGAUCUUAAGAAUUUACUUCUUAAAAGCAAUGUUGGAACCAAGAAAACAGUGGAAUGAGGUUUUCAAUAUUCUGGAGAAAAUUUGUAACCCAGGAUUAUGUCCCGUUCUUGAUGCUGAUGAUGCUGCAUGAAGGUUGGCUUCCCAUGCACAGGACGCUGGAGCUCUCACACAAAUAAUCAACAGAUGAUGCCGAGGUCAUAUGUAUUAGUUUUCUAUUCCUGUGUAACACACCACCAGACCUGGCAGUUAGAACAGCACACAUUUAUUGUCUCUCAGUAUCUGUGGGUUAGGGUUCCACACAUGGCUUAGCUGUCUUCUGCUAGGAUCUCCCAAAGCUGAAUUCCAGACAUUACCUGGGCUGUGAUCUCCUCUAGUGGCUUUACUUGGGAAGAACCCUCUUUCAAACCGGCUCAAGUGAUUGGACAGAUUCCAGUUCCUGGCAGUCGUUAAGCCUGGGGGCCUGGACUUCCUGCUGGCUCUUGGCUCCUGGAGGUUGUAUUCAGCUCCUAGAAGUCGCCCUCAGACCCUAAAUGCUGUACAGAUUCUUACUGCAUGGGCUUAUCCAACAUCGCUGCUGACUCCAUCAAGCCGGCAAUGGAAGUCUCUAGACUUUCAUUUACCUUUCCUCUUACUACAUAAAUGAGAACUGCUUUUGCCUAGGCACCGGGUUUAUGAUGUGUAGUCCUUGCUCCCAAGAAUUUUUGUAGGAGAUUGGCUGUAGAAAUACACAGAAGUUCAAAACCAAGUCAAGAAUAAAAAAUGUUCUGGAAUAACAUGGUGAUGAUAGCAGGACUUUUUGAACACGGUAAAACCUACUGAAUUGUACGCCUUUUAAAGGGAUGGACUUUACGUUAUGUGAAUUGCAUUCAAUAAAAAUAAAAUACCCAGUCAAACUAUCCAUUAAGUGUACAUGCAAAAUAAAAACAAUUCAGAUAUGCGAGGAUCCUGAAAUGUAUCCAUUCUUAAAAAAACUACUGAGGUAUGUACCUUAGUAUGUACCUUGGUAUGUACCUUGAAUGGAGGAUUCAACCUAAAGGGGGAGAACAUUAAAUCCAGGAAUCCAGGGACCCAUCACAGAAGUCAGGCUCCAGGGCAAGAGCUACACAGUUGCAAAUGCCACCAAACUUCCCCAAAGGAUGAUCUGGACACACCAGAAACACCCAGCCAUCAAUUUCUAUCAGCAGCACAUAUGGCGUUUCUGAUGCCUGGAACUCCCUGACAAAGGUGACACCACUGAAAAGGACUGACAUCAUCUAGAAAACUUCAGAAAGUUAAGCUGGGAAAGAAAAAACAGAAAUCUGACCUUCUGCCCAUAAUCUUGGAUCACUCGGGAUCCUGGCGAACAGAUCCAAAACUCUACCCAGGCAUUACAUGGUAUGUGUCCCUGCGUUUAGACUCCAGCUCGUUUUGAAAAGGUCAUAUGCAGCUUCAGAAAUGCACAAAAUACAACCUAAUGCAAGCGAGAUCCGGAACAAAAUCCAUCUGAUGCUAUAAAGAUAUUAAAGGAAAAGUUCUGGGUGCUGAGAAAAACACAAGGAGGUUUCUCCCACGACGUGAGGAUGUUGGGUGUCAUAGGCAGGAUUCCCGGUUCUGUUUACACCAUAAAGUUGAAGACAUUGCUCAACUGGUCAGCAACAAGUCAGGAGAAGCUGCCAUUUGUGAAAAACAUCAGAUGAAUUACAGCCCAAGAAUCAGCUGUGUGGGUGUUUCCAAGGCUUCCAUCUUGUGAGAGCAUCCUCCUCUCCUUUAAUAUUGAA
Molecule: long non-coding RNA, 2265 nt
Organism: Canis lupus familiaris (dog)
Lineage: Eukaryota; Metazoa; Chordata; Mammalia; Carnivora; Canidae
Exons: 4
Source: RefSeq, a predicted model, not a curated record